GAUGAACGCUGGCGGCGUGCCUAACACAUGCAAGUCGAACGGACAGGCCAUGAUUUUGCGCGGCGCUCGUGAGGCGAACGGGUGAGUAUCACGUGUGUAACACGUACCUGACAUUGGGAUAUAAUCUGGAAAAUGGGGAUCAUAUCGCAUAGGAUCUCUUGCUGCACGGUGGGCGAUGGUAAGAUUCGGCGGUUGUGGAUGGUCUCGCUGCUUAUGAGCCUGUUGGGGGGGUAGUGGCUUACCAAGGCUUUGACGGGUAGCCGGCCUGAGAGGGUGACCGGCCACAUGGGGACUGAGAGACGGCCCAGACUCCUACGGGACGCAACGGUGGGGAAUAUUACACAAUGGGCGGGAGCCUGAUGCGACGACGCCGCGUGCGGGAUGACGGCCUUCGGGUUGUGAACCGCUUUCUCCUGUGACGAGGCGUGAGUGACGGUAAUGGGUAAAGAAGCACCGGCUAACUACGUG
RNAcentral lists this ribosomal RNA (468 nucleotides) under uncultured bacterium. RNAcentral's name for it is "partial 16S ribosomal RNA". It matches the Rfam family "Bacterial small subunit ribosomal RNA", at positions 28 to 507 of the family's 1533-position model. The record is from RNAcentral.